Molecule: ribosomal RNA, 518 nt
Filed under: uncultured Staphylococcus sp.
Lineage: Bacteria; Bacillati; Bacillota; Bacilli; Caryophanales; Staphylococcaceae
Description: bacterial SSU rRNA
Rfam family: Bacterial small subunit ribosomal RNA
Source: RNAcentral
AGAGUUUGAUCCUGGCUCAGGAUGAACGCUGGCGGCGUGCCUAAUACAUGCAAGUCGAGCGAACAGAUAAGGAGCUUGCUCCUUUGAAGUUAGCGGCGGACGGGUGAGUAACACGUGGGUAACCUACCUAUAAGACUGGGAUAACUUCGGGAAACCGGAGCUAAUACCGGAUAACAUUUAGAACCGCAUGGUUCUAAAGUGAAAGAUGGUUUUGCUAUCACUUAUAGAUGGACCCGCGCCGUAUUAGCUAGUUGGUAAGGUAACGGCUUACCAAGGCGACGAUACGUAGCCGACCUGAGAGGGUGAUCGGCCACACUGGAACUGAGACACGGUCCAGACUCCUACGGGAGGCAGCAGUAGGGAAUCUUCCGCAAUGGGGCGAAAGCCUGACGGAGCAACGCCGCGUGAGUGAUGAAGGGUUUCGGCUCGUAAAACUCUGUUAUUAGGGAAGAACAAAUGUGUAAGUAACUGUGCACAUCUUGACGGUACCUAAUCAGAAAGCCACGGCUAACUACGUG